GCCCGCCUAGCUCAAUCGGAUAGAGCGUCAGACUCUUACACAAGAGUAGGUGGGUGAUCUGAAGGCUGCGAGUUCGACCCUCGCGGUGGGCU
Molecule: non-coding RNA, 92 nt
Organism: Cerrena zonata
Lineage: Eukaryota; Fungi; Basidiomycota; Agaricomycetes; Polyporales; Cerrenaceae
Source: the annotation of a GenBank genome assembly